RNAcentral lists this transfer RNA (85 nucleotides) under Nitrospinota bacterium. RNAcentral's name for it is "tRNA-Leu". It matches the Rfam family "tRNA". Rfam says of the family: Transfer RNA (tRNA) molecules are approximately 80 nucleotides in length. Their secondary structure includes four short double-helical elements and three loops (D, anti-codon, and T loops). The record is from RNAcentral. Lineage: Bacteria; Pseudomonadati; Nitrospinota.
GCCGACGUGGUGGAAUUGGUAGACACACCGUCUUGAGGGGGCGGCGGGGCGACCCGUGUCAGUUCGAAUCUGACCGUCGGCACCA